GAUGAAGAACGUAGCGAAAUGCGAUACGUAAUGUGAAUUGCAGAAUUCAGUGAAUCAUCGAAUCUUUGAACGCACAUUGCACUCUCUGGUAUUCCGGAGAGUAUGCUUGUUUGAGUAUCAGUAAACACCUCAAAUCUCUUGUUUCUUGUGAAUAAGAGAAUUGGACUUGAGCAAUCCCAACUCUUGCAAAAGAGGCGGGUUGCUUGAAAUGCAGGUGCAGCUGGACAUUCUUCUGAGCUAAAAGCAUAUUUAUUUAGUCCCGUAAAACGGAUUAUUACUUUUGCUGCAGCUAACAUAAAGGUUGAAUGGCCAAUAUGGCUGACUGAUGCAGGAUUAACAGAGAAUUUAUUCUUUGUAAACUCGAUCUCAAAUCAAGUAAGACUACCGGCUGAACUUAAGCAUAUCAAUAAGCGGAGGA
RNAcentral lists this unclassified non-coding RNA (418 nucleotides) under soil metagenome. RNAcentral's name for it is "partial contains 5.8S ribosomal RNA, internal transcribed spacer 2, and large subunit ribosomal RNA". The stretch from base 1 to 120 matches the Rfam family "5.8S ribosomal RNA", at positions 35 to 154 of the family's 154-position model. The record is from RNAcentral.